AUUCAGGUGUGUCCCAGAGACCUCCCAAGGCACAGCGCACACUGUGUCAGCCCCUAACGCCAGGGCUGCAGCACAAAUGAGCCCACCCCUUCACAACCUUGAAGAGUCAUUUUCUUAACGAAGCAAGCUCAUUCUUUUAGCCCCAAUUGUUUAGGAUUGCAUCUCUGGUGACCCCACAGUGCAUUUUGCCAGAUCAGGUCCUUGCAUACUCCCACUGCUGCUUGUUAAAAGGCUUUACAAGCAAAAUCAAAUUCAAAGACUGAUUAAAAGAGGUGUAAGACAGGUUGUGAGGAGGUGCAGCUGCUUCAAGCACUGAAGAAGUCAUGAAAUUUUUCUGACCUGUGUGGGAAAUAACUUGGGACCAAAAGAAUAAUGGUGGGAAGAACUGAGAAGAAAGAUCAUUUGGGACACUAACAGUGAUGAAGAGAGAAAAGAGGAGCUGAUUUCUUAUUGGAGGAGUGUGAACAAGCCUCUGUUACAUGUUAAGGAAAAUGCUUCUUUCACAGAAGUAGCAGCAGACCAGCAGCUCCUGAAACUGCAAGAUAAGGAUUCUCACCUGACUACUCAUAACAAACACGACAAGCCUUGCAGAAUUCACCUUUUUUAUUCCAGGAAGAGAAGAAGGUGCACACCAGGAGACAGAAAUGAGGGAUGCUGGGCGACCUUGGGCAAGACACUUCACUUCCUUGUUUCUCUCUGCUGCUGUUUUCCUUGCUACCUUUGGUCUGUCUUGUCUAAUUAAAGAAAUCUAAAGCAGCAGUGCUCUUUGCACCGUCAGCACAUCCAGCCAAUAGGGUGCUGACCUCACUUGGAUACAACGGUAAUAAGUAAUAACCAUGACAACAAUUUACAAGUGAUGCCACCCAAUUCUAAUAUUCUGCCUUACAAGUGUUCGGUAACUUAUUAAAGCACACGUGUAAGUUCACCUUUACAACAGGAAGCUCAUCUUAACUCUAGUCAGCUUCAAUAAAAGUUAAAAGCUUGGUUUUU
Gallus gallus (chicken) is the source of this 990-nucleotide long non-coding RNA. RefSeq lists it as uncharacterized. NCBI's taxonomy places the organism in Eukaryota, Metazoa, Chordata, Aves, Galliformes, Phasianidae. The transcript is spliced from 3 exons. The record is from RefSeq and is a predicted model, not a curated record.